RNAcentral lists this ribosomal RNA (253 nucleotides) under uncultured bacterium. Its description in RNAcentral is "partial 16S ribosomal RNA". It matches the Rfam family "Bacterial small subunit ribosomal RNA", at positions 524 to 776 of the family's 1533-position model. The record is from RNAcentral.
GACGAACCGUGCAAAAGUUAUUCGGGAUCACUGGGCUUAAAGGGCCAGUAGGCGGCUUUCCAAGUCGGUGGUGAAAUCUUUCGGCUUAACCGGAAAAGUGCCUUCGAUACUGGAAGUCUUGAGUAUGGUAGAGGCAGAAGGAACUUCCAGUGUAGCGGUGAAAUGUGUUGAUAUAGGAAUGAACGCCGGUGGCGAAAGCGCUCUGCUGGAUCAUCACUGACGCUGAGGCGCGAAAGCUAGGGGAGCAAACGGG